AAUCCAUAGGUUAAUGAGGCGAACCGGGGGAACUGAAACAUCUAAGUACCCCGAGGAAAAGAAAUCAACCGAGAUUCCCCCAGUAGCGGCGAGCGAACGGGGAGGAGCCCAGAGCCUGAAUCAGCAUGUGUGUUAGUGGAAGCGUCUGGAAAGGCGCGCGAUACAGGGUGACAGCCCCGUACACAAAAGCGCAUGUGCUGUGAGCUCGAUGAGUAGGGCGGGACACGUGGUAUCCUGUCUGAAUAUGGGGGGACCAUCCUCCAAGGCUAAAUACUCCUGACUGACCGAUAGUGAACCAGUACCGUGAGGGAAAGGCGAAAAGAACCCCGGCGAGGGGAGUGAAAAAGAACCUGAAACCGUGUACGUACAAGCAGUGGGAGCACAGGUUUACCUGUGUGACUGCG
Molecule: ribosomal RNA, 404 nt
Filed under: Salmonella enterica subsp. enterica serovar Infantis
Lineage: Bacteria; Pseudomonadati; Pseudomonadota; Gammaproteobacteria; Enterobacterales; Enterobacteriaceae
Also listed under: 9 other names
Description: partial 23S ribosomal RNA
Rfam family: Bacterial large subunit ribosomal RNA
Source: RNAcentral